Molecule: ribosomal RNA, 442 nt
Filed under: uncultured bacterium
Lineage: Bacteria
Description: partial 16S ribosomal RNA
Rfam family: Bacterial small subunit ribosomal RNA
Source: RNAcentral
CCUACGGGAGGCAGCAGUGGGGAAUAUUGGGCAAUGGGCGCAAGCCUUACCCAGCAAUACCGCGUGAGUGAAGAAGGUCUUCGGAUUGUAAAGCUCUUUGAUCAGGGACGAACAGAUGACGGUACCUGAAGAACAAGCCCCGGCUAACUACGUGCCAGCAGCCGCGGUAAUACGUAGGGGGCAAGCGUUAUCCGGAUUUACUGGGUGUAAAGGGAGCGUAGACGGAAAGGCAAGUCAGAAGUGAAAGCCCAAGGCUCAACCAUGGGACUGCUUUUGAAACUGUCAAACUAGAGUACGGGAGAGGUAAGAGGAAUUCCUAGUGUAGCGGUGAAAUGCGUAGAUAUUAGGAGGAACACCAGUGGCGAAGGCGUCUUACUGGACCGAAACUGACGUUGAGGCUCGAAAGCGUGGGGAGCAAACAGGAUUAGAUACCCUUGUAGUC